ACCUCAGUUGCUCUCUCCGCUUGGGUUUGGAGGGCAGAAGGUGCCACAGGAUGAGUGGGGGAAUCCAUAGAAUCCUCGAAAAAAACUCUAAUUAUCUGGUCGAGUUGGGGAAUUUGUAGACUCCCGGGAGAAUUUUAUUUUAUUUUUGUAAUUUAUUUUUUUUAAAAUAGCUGUGGUUGUCCCAGAACAUCAUCUGGAAAUCUAAAGUGUCCUGUCAAGUUGGGUAAGACUCCUGGAAGAGCUUUCUCCAACUGGGAUCAUCGAGCUGUGUGGAGCAGUAAUCCAACUCCCAACAGGUCCUUAGCAACCACCCCGCCUCGCCACAUCUGUAGACAUGAUCAUCAGGCUGGGAAGGCUGACACCAGGAUAUUUCCGCCUCCUCCAGAGACAAGUGGCCGGCGAGGUGCAGACGCAGCCGCAGGACCGCGCCAUCAACCAGAUCGCCAUGAUGCUGGCCAUCAUGGGUCUCAGUUUAUCCUACUACAGCGCCAAGCAAAUGACCGAGAAGGUGCAUGCCCAUCCUGCGCCCUGAACCACUCAUGGGCGGAUGGACGAAAGGGAAGCUGACGAAGCCACGACUGUGGUCUUGUUUGUUUAGUUUUCUGUUUUCAGACCGUAAAGGGUGCGGCUGUUCCCGAUCUCUGGUGGAAGGGGAUGUUUGGCCAUUAGCAAAGGUGCAUGCUAGCAAGGUCAUGUCAGUAAGGAGGGGGGAUAGGGUAAAGGGGGCAUUACACGUAAUAUGAUACUUGAAUUCUCAAAGUUGAUCUCCGCGUUGCAAGUCUUGGGAGAUGCUGUGAGUCAUUUGCACAAUCAUGCGAAAACUGUUUUUAAAAACAAAGAAAUGUCAUAUAACAAGUCACAACCUUUUUUUUUGGGUCUCCUUGUGAAGUCACACUUGACAUCUAGUCAAUGACGUGUUGUAUACUAUAUGUAAACCACACUGAGUGCAUGUGAGGACUUAAAAAAAAUAAAUAAAAUAAAAUAAUAUUUUUCUAUUGCCGUACGGACGAAUGUGUCACUUUAUUUUGUAAUGAUUGAAUAAAGCUGUGAAUCUUUUUUUGCAA
Long non-coding RNA from Phycodurus eques (leafy seadragon), 1064 nucleotides. RefSeq lists it as uncharacterized. The record is from RefSeq and is a predicted model, not a curated record. NCBI's taxonomy places the organism in Eukaryota, Metazoa, Chordata, Actinopteri, Syngnathiformes, Syngnathidae. The transcript is spliced from 3 exons.